This 213-nucleotide unclassified non-coding RNA is filed under the name plant metagenome. RNAcentral's name for it is "partial contains small subunit ribosomal RNA, internal transcribed spacer 1, and 5.8S ribosomal RNA". The record is from RNAcentral.
UUUCCGUAGGUGAACCUGCGGAAGGAUCAUUCAUAAUAAGUGUUUUAUGGCACUUUUUUAAAUCCAUAUCCACCUUGUGUGCAAUGUCAGGGUUGAUUUUUCUCUCGAGAGGAUCAACCCCAAACAUCAACUAUAUCUCAACUCUUUGUCUGAAAAAUAUUUUGAAUAAAACAAUUCAAAAUACAACUUUCAACAACGGAUCUCUUGGCUCUC